RNAcentral lists this ribosomal RNA (414 nucleotides) under uncultured bacterium. RNAcentral describes it as "bacterial SSU rRNA". It matches the Rfam family "Bacterial small subunit ribosomal RNA", at positions 981 to 1395 of the family's 1533-position model. The record is from RNAcentral.
UAGGACUGCUCUACGCAAUCUAGAGAUUAGACGUUCCCUUCGGGGACAUGAAUUACAGGUGGUGCAUGGUUGUCGUCAGCUCGUGUCGUGAGAUGUUGGGUUAAGUCCCGCAACGAGCGCAACCCUUAUUAUCAGUUGCCAGCAUUAAGUUGGGCACUCUGGUGAGACUGCCGGUGACAAACCGGAGGAAGGUGGGGAUGACGUCAAAUCAUCAUGCCCCUUAUGACCUGGGCUACACACGUGCUACAAUGGAUGGUACAACGAGUUGCGAAAUCGCGAGGGUAAGCUAAUCUCUUAAAACCAUUCUCAGUUCGGAUUGUAGGCUGCAACUCGCCUACAUGAAGUCGGAAUCGCUAGUAAUCGCGGAUCAGCAUGCCGCGGUGAAUACGUUCCCGGGUCUUGUACACACCGAAC